CCACCUGACCAUCACCCCUCGUUCUGGAUCGUUCGGCCACUCCCGAGCGACACUUCGCUCAUUUCUCUCUGCCACGUAUGUCUCGAGAACCCUGCUUCUUCCGGUCACUCCACGUCUCGAGGCCCCAGUGAACACCUAACCGAGUCUACCUCGAGCCUCGCCAACACCCAGACGGCAGAGAACUCCCUGGACUCUCCAAGGACUGGCCUCUCAGCUGCUGCCGUGGAUUCAUCCUCUACCUGGUUUCCGGCGCUGUCAACGAGUCUGCAUCUGGUGUUGGUGAGAUUAGUGUUCCUCUGGCCGUCACUCGCUCUGGAGGGAGACUCGUGGUGAGAGCCGGGUGGUCGUGAUGGUUCCUAAGCCAGACUAACACUUAUCGGAUGGCCAUUGACUACCGUCAACUCAACAGCUAGUCUUCCAGGCUGAGCUCAGCUGUAGCAUUGAGGAAGAUAUGUACAAGUUUUCCGGUUCAAGAUUCUUCAGAGUUGGAUCUCUGCAAGGCUUAUUACAAAGUCCCUUUGACAGAGAGCCAUGCUUGACAGCCAUCCCAACCCACUUGGGCCUAAUGGAGUUAACCAGACUACCUUUUGGCCUGGUCACUGCUUGUGCCACCUCAAGCUCUUCCGCAUUGUGCUCUCAGGACUCGCAAACGUGACCUUUUAUUUUGAUAAUGAUUUUAUACUCUUCAGACUGGGCCCUGCAUUUAAGGACCCUUCAUGCCGUGCUGGACAGGAUCAGGACCCAUGGACUUACCCUAAAGAUCUCCAAGUGCUAUUUUGGAUUCCCUUCCAUUCUAUACAUUGGAUUCAUUUUGGGAGCUGACUGUCUUCAACCCCAGCGUGACAAAGUUGAAGCGCUCUGCAAGAUACCACCACCGUCCACUAAGAAACUUCUACGAGGAUUUAUUGUAAUAGUGAGUUUCUACAAGUCUUUUAUCCCUCGGGCAUCCCUCCUCACUGGCCCUCUGACUGAUCUGCUAAAAACUGUUCGUGAGCCCCUUCCCUGGACGGACGAGUUGCAGGCUUGUUUUGACCAGCUCAAAUUAAUCCUCUCUUCUAACCCCAUACUUCGUCUCCCCGAUCCUAUAGGGCGGACGCUUUCACCCGAGGGAUUGGAGCGGUUUUCCUUCAAUGUCAUCUUGGCAUUCCUCAUCCGGUUGCGUAUGCUAGCAGAAAACUGCUCCCCAGGGAAACCCGGUAUUCUACCAUUGAGAGGGAAUGCCUAGGUAUAGUGUUCUCCAUUCUCAAGGUUUGAUUUUUACUUCAGAGGGUAAGAAUUUAUUUUGGAAACGGAUCACAAUCCCCUCACCUAUAAGCACACCUUCAAAGGCAUGAAUGAUCGCCUUCUCGGAUGGAGUCUAGCACUUCAACAACACAAAUUCAGGGUCGUUCAUGUUGCUGGAGCUGACUAUGUGCUGGAGCUGACAAUCUAUGUGCCGACCUCCUCAGUCGAGUUUAGGUAUUUUCUUAUAUCCUCUCUUUUCUCCAGAAGGCAUUGCAUUCCCUAGAGUGGUGUUCUACAAGACUACCGUGGCUAGUCUCUUGGAGGGGGAGUUGUGUAACGGAACAGAACACCAUCUGACCAUCACCCCUCGUUCUGGAUCGUUCGGCCACUCCCGAGCGACACUUCGCUCAUUUCUCUGCCACGUAUGUCUCGAGAACCCUGCUUCUUCCGGUCACUCCACGUCUCUUGGUCACUCCACGUCUCCGGUAACUCCAAGUCUCGAGGCCCCAGUGAUCACCUGACCGAGUCUACCUCGAGCCUCGCCAACACCCAGACGGCAGAGAACUCCCUGGACUCCAAGGACUGGCCUUUCCUCUGCUGCCCUGGCUUCACCCUCUCCCUGCUUCCCGGCGCCGUCAACGAGUCUGCCUCCAGUGUUGGUGAGAUUAGUGUUCCUCGCUCUGGAGAUAAACUCUUGGUGAGAGCCGGGGUUUGCAAGGUGUCCCUGUUGUUGUUAUAUUGUGUAUACCUGUGUGUUUUUGCAAGUCUAGUAAACUUUGAACCAUUCAAA
This is an RNA transcript of Portunus trituberculatus (swimming crab), 2014 nucleotides long. RefSeq lists it as uncharacterized. The record is from RefSeq and is a predicted model, not a curated record. The transcript has 2 exons. Lineage: Eukaryota; Metazoa; Arthropoda; Malacostraca; Decapoda; Portunidae.